UACAGAGGUCUCAAGCGUUGUUCGGAUUCAUUGGGCGUAAAGGGUGCGUAGGCGGCGCGGUAAGUCGGGUGUGAAAUCUCGGAGCUUAACUCCGAAACUGCAUUCGAUACUGCCGUGCUUGAGGACUGGAGAGGAGACUGGAAUUUACGGUGUAGCGGUGAAAUGCGUAGAUAUCGGGAGGAACACCAGUGGCGAAGGCGGCGACCUGGACAGAUAUUGACGCUGAGGUGCGAAAGCGUGGGGAGCAAACAGG
This 253-nucleotide ribosomal RNA is filed under the name uncultured bacterium. Its description in RNAcentral is "partial 16S ribosomal RNA". It matches the Rfam family "Bacterial small subunit ribosomal RNA", at positions 524 to 776 of the family's 1533-position model. The record is from RNAcentral.